GGUCCGGUAGCUCAGCGGUAGAGCGGUGCGGAAUAUGAAACGGUUCAUACAACUCGCACGGUCGGCAGUUCGAUUCUGUCCCGGACUACAA
Molecule: transfer RNA, 91 nt
Filed under: Muribaculum intestinale
Lineage: Bacteria; Pseudomonadati; Bacteroidota; Bacteroidia; Bacteroidales; Muribaculaceae
Description: tRNA-OTHER
Rfam family: tRNA
About the family: Transfer RNA (tRNA) molecules are approximately 80 nucleotides in length. Their secondary structure includes four short double-helical elements and three loops (D, anti-codon, and T loops).
Source: RNAcentral